CAAUGACAGUAUUGGAUUGACUUGCCUCCACAGGGAUGAAAUCAAGUACCCUUUACCCCAAAGUAUUUAUGAAUGGGGCAGUAAUGAGAGGUGCUUUUCAUUGAAACACACUUUGUUAGACUCUGUUUCUGCAAAUUAAAGAUGAAAGAAUGUGGUUUUCCAUGUCAAAGUGAUUUAAUUCUAGCCUUAAUUACCUUCAAAAUUUCUUUUAAAUUAUAUGAGUUACAACAUUUGGGAUACCAACAGGAAAUCAAGAUGUUAACGAUGUGCCAACAUUCCGAUCUAGUUUGACUCAGCUGGCGGCAGUAAGAAUCAUCCCAAGAAAUGGGAGCCCAGCAGUGUGCAGAGAACGACUAAGCUUUGACAUUAUUUUCUUGACAAUUUCUAAAAAAAUUAAGGUUACUGCACUGCAGUUGUAUCUUGCUAGCAAGAUUUUGGUUGAAGGAAAAGAAGUUUAGUAAGGUGGAGUGAUGCAGAGAAGAAUCUAAGCAAGCUAAAUGGAAAAGGACAAUGUUUUCUUCAUUUUCUUUAAACAUGCUACAAAAUUUAUGGUAAGUGCCUUUUUGUUUGCUUUUCUUCUUUCUUUGUUAGUUUUAGGUGCUUUAUAUAAUGAUUUAAUGAUUUCUUUCUUUAAUUUGUUUGUAGAUUUCAAAAGGACAGAUGUAUGAUGUUUUCCUUUCUGCAUCAAGAUCAAGAGAAUCUCAUCAGCUGUGUCAUUACUUUCUUAAAUAUUUGUGCUACGUAUCCCUUCUUCCAUGAACCACAACAGUUGGUACACCAACAAGAAAACAAGGUGUUAGGAACACGAUACAUGCCAAUCCAGUUCGGCUCAGGUGGUGGCAGGAAGAAGUAUUGAAAGCAAGCGGAGUGUAGCAGCGUGAAGCCAUGCAGGGGGGAAACAGAAGCAAGCACAGGAGAAUGAUAAAGCUUUGAGUUUAUUUUCUUGAAAAUUUCUUCAAAGUUUAAGGUUACUGCACUGCAGUUGUAUCUUGCUAGCAAGAUUUUGGUUGAAGGAAAAGAAGUUUAGUAAGGUGGAGUGAUGCAGAAAAGAAUUGGAAACAAGCUAAAGGGAAAGGACAAUGUUUUCUUCUUUUUCUUUAAACAUUCUACAAAAUUUAUAGUUACUGUACUUGAAAUAUCUCAAUCAGGCAAGAAUUUGAAUCAAGAUAGUUCAUUCUUGUGUUCAUGCUGCUUUGGCACCAUUUACAAGAUUUCAAAAGGACAGAUGUAUGAUGUUUUCCUUUCUGCAUCAAGAUCAAGAGAAUCUCAUCAGCUGUGUCAUUACUUUCUUAAAUAUUUGUGCUACAUAUCCCUUCUUUCAUGAACCACAACAGUUGUUACACCAACAAGAAAACAAGAUGUUAAGAACACGAUACAUGCCAAUCCAGUUCGGCUCAGGUGGCGGCAGGAAGAAGUAUCCAAAGCAAGCGGAGUGUAGCAGCGUGAAGCCAUGCAGGGGUGAAUCAGAAGCAAGCACAGGGGAAUUGCCAGCAUCGUCUUCAUCAGCAGCUAAGCAGCUAAGCCAGCAUUAUUGGAAACUGAAACAGCAAGAAUAGAAGUGCAAUGUAGUGUCGUGAAUUGUGGUGAAUCUCAAACAUUUGCGCUUCCAACCAAACUAAAAGAGUUAGAGUCUGUCUGAUUCAUUUGAUAAAGGUUUUUUUUUUGUGCUAGUUCAAACUGAAGCCUGAAAGUAUUGUAACUAUCAACUGAAUGUUUCAUGUGGUUUAGGCUAAAUGUAAAAUGCAAUUAUACUUUUGAAAUCAAAUUUAAGGUGUUUUUGUAAAUUGGUGGACAAGGACGAUGUUAUUCAUCCUCGUGAGGUUCUUGCGGGUAUCUUUAAAACUCUUGAACCUUUCAUCAAUUAACGAUUUCUGACGAGUGAAUUCAU
This 1888-nucleotide unclassified non-coding RNA is filed under the name Thrips palmi. RNAcentral describes it as "uncharacterized LOC117652517, transcript variant X1". Lineage: Eukaryota; Metazoa; Arthropoda; Insecta; Thysanoptera; Thripidae. The record is from RNAcentral.